AACGAGCGCUGGCGGCAUGCCUAACACAUGCAAGUCGAACGAGACCUUCGGGUCUAGUGGCGCACGGGUGCGUAACGCGUGGGAACCUGCCCUUAGGUUCGGAAUAACUCCCCGAAAGGGGUGCUAAUACCGGAUAAUGUCUUCGGACCAAAGAUUUAUCGCCUUUGGAUGGGCCCGCGUUGGAUUAGCUAGUUGGUAGGGUAAAAGCCUACCAAGGCGACGACCCAUAGCUGGUCUGAGAGGAUGAUCAGCCACACUGGGACUGAGACACGGCCCAGACUCCUACGGGAGGCAGCAGUGGGGAAUAUUGGACAAUGGGCGAAAGCCUGAUCCAGCAAUGCCGCGUGAGUGAUGAAGGCCUUAGGGUUGUAAAGCUCUUUUACCCGGGAUGAUAAUGACAGUACCGGGAGAAUAAGCUCCGGCUAACUCCGUG
Molecule: ribosomal RNA, 433 nt
Filed under: uncultured bacterium
Lineage: Bacteria
Description: partial 16S ribosomal RNA
Rfam family: Bacterial small subunit ribosomal RNA
Source: RNAcentral